RNAcentral lists this ribosomal RNA (497 nucleotides) under uncultured bacterium. Its description in RNAcentral is "partial 16S ribosomal RNA". It matches the Rfam family "Bacterial small subunit ribosomal RNA", at positions 28 to 507 of the family's 1533-position model. The record is from RNAcentral.
GAUGAACGCUGGCGGCGUGCCUAAUACAUGCAAGUCGAGCGAACGGACGAGACGCUUGCUUGUUAGACGUUAGCGGCGGAGGGGUGAGUAACAGGUGGAUAACCUACUUAUCUGACUGGGAUCACUUCGGGAAUCCGGGGAUAAUUCGGUAUAAUCUUUUGAUACGCAUUGUUCAAAAGUGAUUGACGGUAUUGCUGUAUCUUAUAGCUGGAUCCGCGCUGUAUUAGCUAGUUGUUAAGGUAACGGCUUACGACGGCAACGAUGGAUAACAGACCUGCGAGGGGGAUAGGCCACCCUGGAGCGGGAAAAGGGACCAGGCCCCUACGGGAGGCAGCAGAAGGGAAUCUUCGGCAAUGGGGGAAAUCCUGGCGGAGCAACGCGGCGUGAGUAAUAAAGGUCUUCGGAUCGAAAAACCCUGUUAUUAGGGAAGAACAUAUGUGGAAGGAAAUGUGCACAUCGUGACGGUACCUAAUCAGAAAGCCACGGCUAACUACGUG